RNAcentral lists this unclassified non-coding RNA (327 nucleotides) under Hevea brasiliensis (rubber tree). Lineage: Eukaryota; Viridiplantae; Streptophyta; Magnoliopsida; Malpighiales; Euphorbiaceae. The record is from RNAcentral.
GGCAGCUUAUGCAGAUUGCCUCGGGCACAAAACAUUCCUUCAGUUGAACAACAGCAACCUUAUUAUUUGGAAUAGUAGUCUUAAUAAAGAAAAUCUCUUUUAAUUCUAAGCUUCAAUUUGAUAAGGCACCUAAUACCUUACUAUUGAAGAGUUACAGGAACUAAGGAGCAAUAUGAUCAACGUUUAUAUAUGGGCUCACCCCCUUCUUUUCCAAUAAAACUAUUCUCCAUAAAGAAGAAAAGCAGUAGUGGUGGAAUUAUACUUUAUAAUUCACAGAUUAUCAAUAUAUUGUUCCAAAUUUGAGGAAGGCAUCAUAUCAUUGGCAUU